GAUGAAGAACGUAGCGAAAUGCGAUACGUAAUGUGAAUUGCAGAAUUCAGUGAAUCAUCGAAUCUUUGAACGCAUAUUGCGCUCUCUGGUAUUCCGGAGAGCAUGCUUGUUUGAGUGUCAGUAAACACCUCAACUCCCCUUUCUUUUUUUGAAAUGGGAGCUGGACUUGAGUGAUCCCAACGCUUUUCUCACCGAAAAGUGGCGGGUUACUUGAAAUGCAGGUGCAGCUGGACUUUUCUCUGAGCUAAAAGCAUAUCUAUUUAGUCUGCCUAAAAAACAGAUUAUUACCUUUGCUGCAGCUAACAUAAAGGAGAUUAGUUCUUGUGCUGACUGAUGCAGGAUUCACAGAGACAGCUUCGGCUGGCCUUUGUAAACUCGAUCUCAAAUCAAGUAAGACUACCCGCUGAACUUAAGCAUAUCAAUAAGCGGAGGA
This 433-nucleotide unclassified non-coding RNA is filed under the name soil metagenome. RNAcentral describes it as "partial contains 5.8S ribosomal RNA, internal transcribed spacer 2, and large subunit ribosomal RNA". The stretch from base 1 to 120 matches the Rfam family "5.8S ribosomal RNA", at positions 35 to 154 of the family's 154-position model. The record is from RNAcentral.